This is a long non-coding RNA of Carya illinoinensis, 683 nucleotides long. RefSeq lists it as uncharacterized. The transcript has 2 exons. The record is from RefSeq and is a predicted model, not a curated record. Lineage: Eukaryota; Viridiplantae; Streptophyta; Magnoliopsida; Fagales; Juglandaceae.
UUCACAUUUCUAAUCACUCUAUUGAUUUCCCUUUCGCUCGCGGAGAAAACUCGAUUCAUAUUUCUUGAUUUAAGGUUCGUCUUUCUCAUUAGCUCAUCGAUCAUGGUUGAAGGAGAUUUGAGAUCGCAGGAUGGCAUGUUAGGCCUCAACAUCAACUGAGAUGGAUGCCCGUUGGGUCAACCUUCAAGAGCAACAUAUCGGAAUCCCUGACCGGAGGAGAGGUCAAGGCGCUAGACUCGGAGAUCAGCAGGCGCAUUCUAGCUGGCGCCAUCAACUAUCGUGCGAUGCGAGGGGACCCGGUUCCCUGCUCUCUACGUUCCAAUGGCACUUAUUCUAGCUUCCAAUUCUGCCAGGGUCACUCUCACACUAACCCCUAUAGGCGCGGCUGCAGUUCCAUCACAAGGUGCAGGGGAGGAGGACCGGGAGGUUGAUAUCUCUCUCUCUUCCCCCCAUUUUUUUUUUAAUUUCUUUUAGAUGGAUUUAUGCUUUGCAUGAAGAAAUUGAAAGAGAGAGACGUUGGCGGUGACGGUGUCAACGUUGUUAUUAUUGUUGAUAUAUAGAAAUAUUGUUGCUAUAAUAAUAUUUGUAUGUCUCUGUAUGAAAUUGUAUGUUACAGUGUUUGUAAAAUAUAUAGCCUUGGAGCAAUAUUGCUAUUUAAUUAAAAAAUUUGUUAUUUCCUAUUA